UUUUGUAUACAGUAUCCGGAAG
This 22-nucleotide microRNA is filed under the name Heligmosomoides polygyrus. RNAcentral's name for it is "hpo-miR-5897-3p". Lineage: Eukaryota; Metazoa; Nematoda; Chromadorea; Rhabditida; Heligmosomidae. The record is from miRBase by way of RNAcentral.